UUAUAAACAAGAGUUCCUUCAACCAACAUACAUAGCUAAACUCAAGACUUUACACCGUUUUUCUUUAUUUCUGAUUGCCUAAGGUAUUAAUUUUUAAAAUAACGGUGUUUCGGAUUUUUUAGAUUGCUACUCUAUAAGUGGCCUACCUUGGGUCCCUUUUCAAAAGUCUCCCAACUAAAUUCUUGAGUUUAGCUAUGUAUGUUGGUUGAGGGAACUCUUGUUUAUAA
This 227-nucleotide small RNA is filed under the name Mytilus galloprovincialis (Mediterranean mussel). The record is from RNAcentral. Lineage: Eukaryota; Metazoa; Mollusca; Bivalvia; Mytilida; Mytilidae.